UUGGAAACGACUGCUAAUACUCUAUACUCCUGCUUAACACAAGUUGAGUAGGGAAAGUUUUUCGGUGUAGGAUGAGACUAUAUAGUAUCAGCUAGUUGGUAAGGUAAUGGCUUACCAAGGCUAUGACGCUUAACUGGUCUGAGAGGAUGAUCAGUCACACUGGAACUGAGACACGGUCCAGACUCCUACGGGAGGCAGCAGUAGGGAAUAUUGCGCAAUGGGGGAAACCCUGACGCAGCAACGCCGCGUGGAGGAUGACACUUUUCGGAGCGUAAACUCCUUUUCUUAGGGAAGAAUUCUGACGGUACCUAAGGAAUAAGCACCGGCUAACUCCGUGCCAGCAGCCGCGGUAAUACGGAGGGUGCAAGCGUUACUCGGAAUCACUGGGCGUAAAGGGCGCGUAGGCGGAUUAUCAAGUCUCUUGUGAAAUCUAAUGGCUUAACCAUUAAACUGCUUGGGAAACUGAUAGUCUAGAGUGAGGGAGAGGCAGAUGGAAUUGGUGGUGUAGGGGUAAAAUCCGUAGAUAUCACCAAGAAUACCCAUUGCGAAGGCGAUCUGCUGGAACUCAACUGACGCUAAGGCGCGAAAGCGUGGGGAGCAAACAGGAUUAGAUACCCUGGUAGUCCACGCCCUAAACGAUGUACACUAGUUGUUGGGGUGCUAGUCAUCUCAGUAAUGCAGCUAACGCAUUAAGUGUACCGCCUGGGGAGUACGGUCGCAAGAUUAAAACUCAAAGGAAUAGACGGGGACCCGCACAAGCGGUGGAGCAUGUGGUUUAAUUCGAAGAUACGCGAAGAACCUUACCUGGGCUUGAUAUCCUAAGAACCUUUUAGAGAUAAGAGGGUGCUAGCUUGCUAGAACUUAGAGACAGGUGCUGCACGGCUGUCGUCAGCUCGUGUCGUGAGAUGUUGGGUUAAGUCCCGCAACGAGCGCAACCCACGUAUUUAGUUGCUAACGGUUCGGCCGAGCACUCUAAAUAGACUGCCUUCGUAAGGAGGAGGAAGGUGUGGACGACGUCAAGUCAUCAUGGCCCUUAUGCCCAGGGCGACACACGUGCUACAAUGGCAUAUACAAUGAGACGCAAUACCGCGAGGUGGAGCAAAUCUAUAAAAUAUGUCCCAGUUCGGAUUGUUCUCUGCAACUCGAGAGCAUGAAGCCGGAAUCGCUAGUAAUCGUAGAUCAGCCAUGCUACGGUGAAUACGUUCCCGGGUCUUGUACUCACCGCCCGUCACACCAUGGGAGUUGAUUUCACUCGAAGCCGGAAUACUAAACUAGUUACCGUCCACAGUGGAAUCAGCGACUGGGGUGAAGUCGUAACAAGGUAACCGUAGGAGAACCUGCGGUUGGAUCACCUCCUUUCUA
RNAcentral lists this ribosomal RNA (1362 nucleotides) under Campylobacter jejuni. RNAcentral describes it as "bacterial SSU rRNA". It matches the Rfam family "Bacterial small subunit ribosomal RNA". The record is from RNAcentral. Lineage: Bacteria; Pseudomonadati; Campylobacterota; Epsilonproteobacteria; Campylobacterales; Campylobacteraceae.